CUACAGGCAGGGUGGGGACAGGCGCAGGUGCCUCUCAGCCUUGAAUCCGGCUCCUGACCUCCGAAGCGUCCUGGUCUGGGGAAGGUGACAGCAUUCCACAGCAUGAGUGCUCACAGAAGAUGGGACACAUGAACUUCUAGCUAAUUUGGGUAGACAUAUUCCCAACAACCCGUGUUUCCCAGAGCUCCAGUGGCACAAUUGGUUCCUCAUAGUACCUAUAUGGCUCCUGCCAGGCCUCGGAUCCAG
Erinaceus europaeus (western European hedgehog) is the source of this 246-nucleotide long non-coding RNA. RefSeq lists it as uncharacterized. The record is from RefSeq and is a predicted model, not a curated record. NCBI's taxonomy places the organism in Eukaryota, Metazoa, Chordata, Mammalia, Eulipotyphla, Erinaceidae. The transcript has 3 exons.